UCCAGACUCCUACGGGAGGCAGCAGUGGGGAAUAUUGCACAAUGGGGGAAACCCUGAUGCAGCGACGCCGCGUGGGCGACGAAGCGCUCCGGCGCGUAAAGCCCUGUCAGCAGGGAAGAACAAAGACAGUACCUGACCAAGAAGCCCCGGCUAACUACGUGCCAGCAGCCGCGGUAAUACGUAGGGGGCAAGCGUUAUCCGGAUUCACUGGGCGUAAAGGGAGCGCAGGCGGCACGGCAAGUCUGGUGUGAAAGCCCGGGGCCCAACCCCGGGACUGCAUUGGAAACUGCCGGGCUGGAGUGCCGGAGGGGUAAGCGGAAUUCCUGGUGUAGCGGUGAAAUGCGUAGAUAUCAGGAGGAACAUCGGUGGCGAAAGCGCUUUACUGGACCAUUAUUGACGCUGAGGAACGAAAGCCAGGGGAGCAAAUGGGAUUAGAUACCCGCGUAU
Molecule: ribosomal RNA, 447 nt
Filed under: uncultured bacterium
Lineage: Bacteria
Description: partial 16S ribosomal RNA
Rfam family: Bacterial small subunit ribosomal RNA
Source: RNAcentral